AACACAGAGAAAAAAGUCAUCUUCAUGGUCC
Molecule: non-coding RNA, 31 nt
Filed under: Mus musculus (house mouse)
Lineage: Eukaryota; Metazoa; Chordata; Mammalia; Rodentia; Muridae
Source: RNAcentral